AGUGGCGAACGGGUGAGUAACGCGUGAGCAACCUGCCUUUCAGUGGGGGACAACAGUUGGAAACGACUGCUAAUACCGCAUAAUGUAUUGAGAUCGCAUGAUUUUGAUACCAAAGAUUUAUUGCUGAAAGAUGGGCUCGCGUCUGAUUAGCUAGAUGGCGGGGUAACGGCCCACCAUGGCGACGAUCAGUAGCCGGUCUGAGAGGAUGAACGGCCAUAUUGGGACUGAGAUACGGCCCAGACUCCUACGGGAGGCAGCAGUGGGGAAUAUUGGGCAAUGGGGGAAACCCUGACCCAGCAACGCCGCGUGAAGGAAGAAGGCCUUCGGGUUGUAAACUUCUUUUACCAGGGACGAAGGACGUGACGGUACCUGGAGAAAAAGCAACGGCUAACUACGUGCCAGCAGCCGCGGUAAUACGUAGGUUGCAAGCGUUGUCCGGAUUUACUGGGUGUAAAGGGCGUGUAGGCGGAGGAGCAAGUCAGAUGUGAAAUCCCGGGGCUUAACCCCGGAACUGCAUUUGAAACUGCUCCCCUUGAGUAUCGGAGAGGCAAGCGGAAUUCCUAGUGUAGCGGUGAAAUGCGUAGAUAUUAGGAGGAACACCAGUGGCGAAGGCGGCCUGCUGGACGACAACUGACGCUGAGGCGCGAAAGCGUGGGGAGCAAACAGGAUUAGAUACCCUGGUAGUCCACGCUGUAAACGAUGAAUACUAGGUGU
Molecule: ribosomal RNA, 714 nt
Filed under: uncultured bacterium
Lineage: Bacteria
Description: bacterial SSU rRNA
Rfam family: Bacterial small subunit ribosomal RNA
Source: RNAcentral